Molecule: long non-coding RNA, 1475 nt
Organism: Phyllostomus discolor (pale spear-nosed bat)
Lineage: Eukaryota; Metazoa; Chordata; Mammalia; Chiroptera; Phyllostomidae
Exons: 2
Source: RefSeq, a predicted model, not a curated record
ACAACCCAUGGUCAGAAACAAAGGCAAUAGAUUCUGUAGCGGCGAGUAAAAAGUAGUUUAGAAUACUCUAAGGGAGGAAAAGCAAAAUGGACAGCUGGGAGAGCUUGUGCCUGGUUGCCUCUGUGUGCUUGGUGGGGGAAGCCUAUACUUAUAAAUUGAGGACCCAGGUGAUGAGGGGGAUGCAGAGAUAAACAAGAGAACCCCGCUUCUGCUUGGGAGGGUGGACAGACCUCUGAGUGCACGCCUAAGUUCCGAACCCUGGCAGCCCCUGCCGGGCCUCUGGUUUAAGAGAUGCUGCUCCCCAGUGCAAAUCUUGAUGUGCGGGCAUACACUCCUGUGAACUUCCGUUAGUGACCCCGGAACACCAGCAGUGCUGACCCUCUUCCUAGAUGGCUCGGUGUGUCAUCCUGCCAAGGGACAGAGAAUGAGAUUCCAGAUCAAGAAAACUCUCACUAAGUGCAGCUGUUUCCCUGUUGCAGAUGGAGACCCCAAAGCAGAGUCAGGCCGGCCCCCGACAUUGGCAGGGCCAGGCAAGGCCACGAGAGGAGGCCCACACAUGUGACGUCCAAUACUGAAAUACAAGUUCUUCAGCCUCGCAUGUGGGCUUUGAAAAGGAACUCUGAACAGCCUGAGUGUGGGAAGAGGGAGCAGGAAGAGAAGGAAGAAAGGAGAAAGGAGUAUUCUUAGAGCCAGGACCUUCUGAGGAAGAACUGGAAAAAGGCAGAGAGGGAAGAGUUGGGGUGGAACCACCUUGAAGCUUACUGUGUGGCGGUCCUUCCUCAGGUGAGCUGAGCACCAAUGCCACCUUUUGAACGUAAUUAUUCACAUCUAUUUGGUGAGUCCCUAGAAGGUGAAGACGAUGGAUUUUUCUCUAGUUUUUCAUAAUUUGCAGCACAAAAACAACGUAAAAUGCAAGCAUAGGUAAUCAAAAAUGUUUUAAUGAUUAAUUUUUGGACAUUAUUUGACAGUGUGGGUAUAUCCAGAUGAGCUAAAGCACACUUUGACAGCACACUAUUGAAUGUUUAGUUUCUGUAUUGAAAUAUGUAAAGACUUUCGCAAACCAGUACCUAGGAAGACAUACAUUUACAAAUAUACACAUUCUAGAGUUGAUAAGGUAAAUGUAAACAGAUGCUGUGACUCCUUCCAAACAGAAAACCCACAAGACUAAUAAGAGAACCAACUGGUUCCCUAUAAUAUGAAUGUGCAAAAUUAAAGCAUGAUAUUUACAUAAAUAUCAAACCAACAAAUUAGUUUAUACAUUGUCAAUGACUUUCUAAGAUGUGUCAUGAGUGGUUCGACGAAUAUUUCUUCCCCCAGUGGAGAAGGUAUUCAGAGACUAAAUUCUGACACCCCAAAAUGACACACACAUUAGUCCUUGUCGAUCAGACCACUGCCUCACGGGUGCGAGACAUGAUUCCAUAAGUAGUCUACUAUUUUUAAACAAGCGAUUCUAAACAAAUUUUUAUAUUCUAAGC